Molecule: ribosomal RNA, 497 nt
Filed under: uncultured bacterium
Lineage: Bacteria
Description: partial 16S ribosomal RNA
Rfam family: Bacterial small subunit ribosomal RNA
Source: RNAcentral
GAUGAACGCUGGCGGCGUGCCUAAUACAUGCAAGUCGAGCGAACGGACGAGAAGCUUGCUUCUCUGAUGUUAGCGGCGGACGGGUGAGUAACACGUGGAUAACCUACCUAUAAGACUGGGAUAACUUCGGGAAACCGGAGCUAAUACCGGAUAAUAUUUUGAACCGCAUGGUUCAAAAGUGAAAGACGGUCUUGCUGUCACUUAUAGAUGGAUCCGCGCUGCAUUAGCUAGUUGGUAAGGUAACGGCUUACCAAGGCAACGAUGCAUAGCCGACCUGAGAGGGUGAUCGGCCACACUGGAACUGAGACACGGUCCAGACUCCUUCGGGAGGCAGCAGUAGGGAAUCUUCCGCAAUGGGCGAAAGCCUGACGGAGCAACGCCGCGUGAGUGAUGAAGGUCUUCGGAUCGUAAAACUCUGUUAUUAGGGAAGAACAUAUGUGUAAGUAACUGUGCACAUCCUGACGGUACCUAAUCAGAAAGCCACGGCUAACUACGUG